GAUCAUUACCGAGUUAUACAACUCAUCAACCCUGUGAACAUACCUAAAACGUUGCCUCGGCGGGAACAGACGGCCCCGUAACACGGGCCGCCCCCGCCAGAGGACCCCCUAACUCUGUUUCUAUAAUGUUUCUUCUGAGUAAACAAGCAAAUAAAUUAAAACUUUCAACAACGGAUCUCUUGGCUCCGGCAUCGAUGAAGAACGCAGCGAAAUGCGAUAAGUAAUGUGAAUUGCAGAAUUCAGUGAAUCAUCGAAUCUUUGAACGCACAUUGCGCCCGCCAGUAUUCUGGCGGGCAUGCCUGUUCGAGCGUCAUUACAACCCUCAGGCCCCCGGGCCUGGCGUUGGGGAUCGGCGGAAGCCCCCUGCGGGCACAACGCCGUCCCCCAAAUACAGUGGCGGUCCCGCCGCAGCUUCCAUUGCGUAGUAGCUAACACCUCGCAACUGGAGAGCGGCGCGGCCACGCCGUAAAACACCCAACUUCUGAAUGUUGACCUCGAAUCAGGUAGGAAUACCCGCUGAAC
This 522-nucleotide ribosomal RNA is filed under the name Fusarium oxysporum f. sp. lycopersici. RNAcentral's name for it is "eukaryotic LSU rRNA". The stretch from base 160 to 313 matches the Rfam family "5.8S ribosomal RNA". Lineage: Eukaryota; Fungi; Ascomycota; Sordariomycetes; Hypocreales; Nectriaceae. The record is from RNAcentral.